UCCCACUCACAGAGAAGUUGGUGGUUGUCUCUUUUAACAGAGGUUUCCGUUGUCUGCACAUCAGCCCUGCCUGUCAGGCGUCACCAAAAAAAAGCCACUGCAGCUGAACGACCACGAAAAGGAGAUGCACCACAGCAAGAGUGAAUAGCAAGUGCAAGCCAGCACGAGAGUAAACUGACCUUUGGAGCCAACAGCAUCAUUAGGGGGCUGGACUUGGACUGGAUUAGCAUUCAGCAGCAAAAACAGAUGCUGAGCUUUCAAGAGGCCUCUAAUGAAGAAUAUGAAAUCAUAAGACCCUAGGCCCUGCAGGAUAAGUA
RNAcentral lists this long non-coding RNA (317 nucleotides) under Pogona vitticeps (central bearded dragon). RNAcentral's name for it is "lncRNA (ENSPVIG00000004579.1)". Lineage: Eukaryota; Metazoa; Chordata; Lepidosauria; Squamata; Agamidae. The record is from RNAcentral.